RNAcentral lists this ribosomal RNA (673 nucleotides) under uncultured bacterium. Its description in RNAcentral is "bacterial SSU rRNA". It matches the Rfam family "Bacterial small subunit ribosomal RNA", at positions 94 to 765 of the family's 1533-position model. The record is from RNAcentral.
ACCGGCGCACGGGUGCCUAACGCGUAUGCAACCUACCUUUUACUGGGGGAUAGCUCCGAGAAAUCGGGAUUAAUACCUCAUAAUAAGUUUUACCGGCAUCGGUAGGACUUUAAAGCUCCGGCGGUAAGAGAUGGGCAUGCGUGCCAUUAGCUAGUUGGUGAGGUAACGGCUCACCAAGGCAACGAUGGCUAGGGGUUCUGAGAGGAUUAUCCCCCACACUGGUACUGAGACACGGACCAGACUCCUACGGGAGGCAGCAGUAAGGAAUAUUGGUCAAUGGACGCAAGUCUGAACCAGCCAUGCCGCGUGCAGGAUGACGGCCUUAUGGGUUGUAAACUGCUUUUGUCAGGGAAUAAACCCUUGUUUGCGAACAAGGCUGAAGGUACCUGAAGAAUAAGCAUCGGCUAACUCCGUGCCAGCAGCCGCGGUAAUACGGAGGAUGCAAGCGUUAUCCGGAUUCAUUGGGUUUAAAGGGUGCGCAGGCGGACUGAUAAGUCAGUGGUGAAAUCCUACGGCUCAACCGUGGCACUGCCAUUGAUACUGUCAGUCUUGAGUAUAGUUGAAGUGGGCGGAAUGUAGCAUGUAGCGGUGAAAUGCAUAGAUAUGCUACAGAACACCAAUAGCGAAGGCAGCUCACUAAGUUAUAACUGACGCUCAUGCACGAAAGCGUGGG